CUUUGAAUAAAAAGUCAUCGUGAAUUUUGGCACAAAAAAACGCCAUAGCAUACUAUGUUGAAAGAAAAAUGCAAUUUUUCAACAUGUUGUAAAAACGUGCCAUAUGAUGAAAUAAUGUAAAGAAGGGCGUGAAAAACACUCCAGGAAGGUUUUCUGUGCAAAAAAAAUCAUCAUGAAUUUUGGCGCCAAAAAAACGCCUUACUAUACUAUGUCGAAAAAAAACGAGAUUUUUCGAACAUGUUGUAAAAACGUGCCAUAUGAUGAAAUAAUGUAAAGAAGGGCGUGAAAAACACUCCAGGAAGGUUUUCUGUGCAAAAAAAAUCAUCAUGAAUUUUGGCGCCAAAAAAACGCCUUACUAUACUAUGUCGAAAAAAAACGAAAUUUUUCGACCAUGUUGUAAAAACGUGCCAUAUGAUGAAAUAAUGUAAAGAAGGGCGUGAAAAACACUCCAGGAAGGUUUUCUGUGCAAAAAAAAAUCAUCAUGAAUUUUGGCGCCAAAAAAAAGCCUUACUAUACUAUGUCAAAAAAAAAACGAAAUUUUUCAACCAUGUUGUAAAAACGUGCCAUAUGAUGAAAUAAUGUACAGGAGGGCGUGAAAAACACUCCAGGAAGGUUUUCUGUGCAAAAAAAAUCAUCAUGAAUUUUGGUGCCAAAAAAACGCCUUACUAUACUAUGUCGAAAAAAAACGAAAUUUUUCGACCAUGUUGUAAAAACGUGCCAUAUGAUGAAAUAAUGUACAGGAGGGCGUGAAAAACACUCCAGGAAGGUUUUCUGUGCAAAAAAAAAUCAUCAUGAAUUUUGGCGCCAAAAAAACGCCUUACUAUACUAUGUCGAAAAAAACCGAGAUUUUUCGAACAUGUUGUAAAAACGUGCCAUAUGAUGAAAUAAUGUACAGGAGGGUGUGAAAAACACUCCAGGAAGGUUUUC
This is a long non-coding RNA of Amphiprion ocellaris (clown anemonefish), 927 nucleotides long. The record is from Ensembl. Lineage: Eukaryota; Metazoa; Chordata; Actinopteri; Pomacentridae.